UACGGGGGGGGCAAGCGUUGUUCGGAAUUACUGGGCGUAAAGCGUGCGCAGGCGGCUUUGCAAGACAGAUGUGAAAUCCCCGGGCUCAACCUGGGAACUGCAUUUGUGACUGCAAGGCUAGAGUACGGUAGAGGGGGAUGGAAUUCCGCGUGUAGCAGUGAAAUGCGUAGAUAUGCGGAGGAACACCGAUGGCGAAGGCAAUCCCCUGGACCUGUACUGACGCUCAUGCACGAAAGCGUGGGGAGCAAACAGG
RNAcentral lists this ribosomal RNA (253 nucleotides) under uncultured bacterium. Its description in RNAcentral is "partial 16S ribosomal RNA". It matches the Rfam family "Bacterial small subunit ribosomal RNA", at positions 524 to 776 of the family's 1533-position model. The record is from RNAcentral.